CGUAGGUAACCUGCCUGGUAGCGGGGGAUAACUAUUGAAAACGAUAGCUAAUACCGCAUAACAGUAGAUAUCGCAUGAUAUUUGCUUGAAAGGUGCAAUUGCACCACUACCAGAUGGACCUGCGUUGUAUUAGCUAGUUGGUGAGGUAACGGCUCACCAGGGCAACGAUACAUAGCCGACCUGAGAGGGUGAUCGGCCACACUGGGACUGAGACACGGCCCAG
This 223-nucleotide ribosomal RNA is filed under the name uncultured Streptococcaceae bacterium. Its description in RNAcentral is "partial 16S ribosomal RNA". It matches the Rfam family "Bacterial small subunit ribosomal RNA", at positions 116 to 334 of the family's 1533-position model. The record is from RNAcentral. Lineage: Bacteria; Bacillati; Bacillota; Bacilli; Lactobacillales; Streptococcaceae.